RNAcentral lists this ribosomal RNA (227 nucleotides) under Escherichia coli. RNAcentral's name for it is "partial 16S ribosomal RNA". It matches the Rfam family "Bacterial small subunit ribosomal RNA", at positions 1 to 225 of the family's 1533-position model. RNAcentral also lists the same sequence under 1 other name. Lineage: Bacteria; Pseudomonadati; Pseudomonadota; Gammaproteobacteria; Enterobacterales; Enterobacteriaceae. The record is from RNAcentral.
AAAUUGAAGAGUUUGAUCAUGGCUCAGAUUGAACGCUGGCGGCAGGCCUAACACAUGCAAGUCGAACGGUAACAGGAAGCGCUUGCUGCUUCGCUGACGAGUGGCGGACGGGUGAGUAAUGUCUGGGAAACUGCCUGAUGGAGGGGGAUAACUACUGGAAACGGUAGCUAAUACCGCAUAACGUCGCAAGACCAAAGAGGGGGACCUUCGGGCCUCUUGCCAUCGGA